GACGAGCCACCCGAACGUUAUUCGGAAUUACUGGGCUUAAAGGGUGCGUAGGCGGUGUAGCAAGUCGGGAGUGAAAUACCCCAGCUUAACUGAGGAAUUGCUUUCGAUACUGCUGCGCUUGAGUGAGACAGAGGUAAGCGGAACUUAGGGUGGAGCGGUGAAAUGCGUUGAUAUCCUAAGGAACACCGGUGGCGAAGGCGGCUACUGGGUCUCAACUGACGCUGAGGCACGAAAGCUAGGGUAGCAAACGGG
Molecule: ribosomal RNA, 252 nt
Filed under: uncultured bacterium
Lineage: Bacteria
Description: partial 16S ribosomal RNA
Rfam family: Bacterial small subunit ribosomal RNA
Source: RNAcentral